ACUCAAAUGAAUUGACGGGGACCUGCACAAGCAGUGGAGCGUGUGGUUUAAUUCGAUACAAAACGAAAAACCUCACCAGGGUUUGACAUGUAGCUGCAAGCGCACGGAAACGUGUGAUCUUCGAGAGUGCUACACAGAUGCUGCAUGGCUGUCGUCAGCUCGUGGCGUGAGCUGUUUCCUUAAGUGGAUAAACGAGCGCAACCCGCACCGUAUGUUAAAUAAUCCAUGCGGAACUGCUCUUCUUUUGAAGAGAGGAAGGCGCGGAUGAUGUCAAGUCAGCACGGCUCUUACACCCUGGGCUACACACACACUACAAUGGCGAAUAACAACGAGCUGCAAGUCGGUAACGGCAAGCUAAUCUCUGAAAUUUCGCCCCAGUUCGGAUUGAGGGCUGCAAUUCGCCCUCAUGAAGUCGGAAUUGCUAGUAAUCGCGGAUCAGCACGCCGCGGUGAAUACGUUCUCAGGUCUUGUACACACCGCCCGU
RNAcentral lists this ribosomal RNA (484 nucleotides) under uncultured bacterium. Its description in RNAcentral is "partial 16S ribosomal RNA". It matches the Rfam family "Bacterial small subunit ribosomal RNA", at positions 899 to 1397 of the family's 1533-position model. The record is from RNAcentral.